RNAcentral lists this ribosomal RNA (336 nucleotides) under Triticum aestivum (bread wheat). RNAcentral's name for it is "partial small subunit ribosomal RNA". The record is from RNAcentral. Lineage: Eukaryota; Viridiplantae; Streptophyta; Magnoliopsida; Poales; Poaceae.
AUGCACAACCUUUCAUUAUGCAGUUUAGAUGUUCAUACGAGGAUGUUUUUACAUAUUAGUGUUGAAAUGCUAAAUCCAGUAUUAUGUUUCAUUUGUAUACUUCACACCAAAGCUCAUAAGUAUUCUGUCGAUCUUUUGAACAUUCUUAGUAACCGUCUUCUUUCUUAUGGAUUUGCGACGGAUUUUGUAAAAUCUCAUGAAGCUGAGUUGUGUAUUAUAAUUCAAAUCUCCAUUGAUAAUUAUACCUUCCAUUUUUUCACCAAUAUUUAUACUGUCUCGAUACCCUUUCAUCAAGAUGGCGGGCGCGGCAAAGCGCGCCUUGACGUUCUAGUGUAA